RNAcentral lists this ribosomal RNA (2280 nucleotides) under human gut metagenome. RNAcentral's name for it is "bacterial LSU rRNA". It matches the Rfam family "Bacterial large subunit ribosomal RNA", at positions 1 to 2277 of the family's 2925-position model. The record is from RNAcentral.
AUAAGAUAUCAAGGGCAACAGGUGAAUGCCUUGGCGCUGAGAGGCGAUGAAAGACGCGGUAAGCUGCGAUAAGCAUCGGGGAGGAGCUAAACAUCCUACGAUCCGAUGAUUUCUGAAUGGGGAAACCCGAUGGGAGUCAUGUCCCAUCAUCCUGAGCUGAAUAUAUAGGCCCAGAGAAGCCAACCCGGGGAAGUGAAACAUCUCAGUACCCGGAGGAAGAGAAAUCAAACGAGACUCCCAAAGUAGCGGCGAGCGAAAUGGGAAGAGCCCAAACCGGGUGGUUUCGACCAUUCGGGGUUGUAGGGCCGGCAUACGCGAUUCUGGAGUAGGCAGAGGAAGUGAGCUGGAAAGCUCCGCCACAGCGGGUGAUAGCCCCGUACUCGAAACCGAAAAGGACGCAGCCGGUACCUGAGUACUGCGAGGCACGUGGAACCUCGUGGGAAUCUAGGGGGACCAUCCUCUAAGGCUAAGUACUCCUCAGCGACCGAUAGUGAACUAGUACCGUGAGGGAAAGGUGAAAAGAACCCCUGUUAGGGGAGUGAAAUAGAAUCUGAAACCUGUUGCCUACAAGCUGCGAGAGCUACUUCGGUAGUGAUCGCGUGCCUUUUGUAUAAUGAGUCAGCGAGUUACUCUACCGUGCGAGGUUAAGCGAAAGCGUAGCCGUAGUGAAAGCGAGGCUUAAUAGGCCGACUAGUACGUUGGAGUAGACCCGAAACCGGGUGAUCUAUCCAUGAGCAGGUUGAAGCAAGGGUAAAGCCUUGUGGAGGACCGAACCGUCAACGGCUGAAAACGUUCCGGAUGACUUGUGGAUAGGGGUGAAAGGUCAAUCAAACCCGGUGAUAGCUGGUUCUCCCCGAAAUAUAUUGAGGUAUAGCCUCGGGAAUUGAUUAGCGGAGGUAAAGCACUGACAGAGCUAGGGGUCCUACCAGAUUACCAAACUCUAUCAAACUCAGAAUGCCGCUUAAUUGUAUCCCGGGAGUCAGACGGCGGGUGCGAAGGUUCGUCGUCAAAAGGGAAACAGCCCAGACCAACAGCUAAGGUCUCCAAAUCCAUGCUCAGUGGUGAAGGUAGUGGAACCGUUUAGACAGCCAGGACGUUGGCUUAGAAGCAGCCAUCGUUUAAAGAAAGCGUAAUAGCUCACUGGUCUAAUGGCUCUGCGCCGAAAAUGUAACGGGGCUAAGCAUGGUACCGAAGCUUUGGCAAUCCCCUUUGGGGAUUGGGUAGGGGAGCGUUCGCUGCGGGCUGAAGGUGUAUCGGAAGGUAUGCUGGACUGCAGUGAAGUGAUUAUGCUGACAUGAGUAACGAUAAAAUAUGUGAAAAACAUAUUCGCCGAAAACCCGAGGUUUCCUGGGUAAAGGUAAUCUUCCCAGGGUUAGUCGGAUCCUAAGGUGAGGGUGAAAGCCGUAACCGAUGGAAAACAGGUUAAUAUUCCUGUACUUGUUGUGUAGCGCGAUGGAGGGACGCAGGAAGAUAGGCGGGCCGGGUGUUGGAUAUCCCGGUGCAAGCGUGUAGGAAUAUCCGGUAGGCAAAUCCGCCGGACGAAUCUGAGACGCGAGUCCGUGGGCGCAAGCCCUGAAGCCGUUGAGUCUAUGCUGCCUAGAAAAGCUCCUAAGUUUAUCCACAGCAAUCCGUACCGCAAACCAACUCAGGUGGGUGGGAUGAACAAUCCAAGGCGCUCGAGAGAACUCUGGCCAAGGAACUCGGCAAAAUAACCCCGUAACUUCGGAAGAAGGGGUGCUCUCUAGGGUGACAUGUUUAACAUAUGAAGCCCCGGGGAGCCGCAGUGAAUUGGUGGUGGCGACUGUUUACUAAAAACAUAGGUCUGUGCGAAGUCCUAAAGACGACGUAUACGGACUGACGCCUGCCCGGUGCUGGAAGGUUAAAAGGAGGGGUCAGCGCAAGCAAAGCUCCGAAUUGAAGCCCCAGUAAACGGCGGCCGUAACUAUAACGGUCCUAAGGUAGCGAAAUUCCUUGUCGGGUAAGUUCCGACCUGCACGAAUGGCGUAACGAUCUCCACACUGUCUCGGCCAGAGACUCGGUGAAAUUGCAGUCGCGGUGAAAAUUCCGUGUACCCGCAGAAAGACGGAAAGACCCUGUGCACCUUUACUAUAGCUUGACAUUGGAUUUUGGGCCUGCAUGUGUAGGAUAGGUGGGAGGCUGUGAACCCUGUACGCCAGUAUGGGGGGAGCCAUCCUUGAAAUACCACCCUUGCAUGUUUAAGAUCCUAACUUCUUCCGGUUAUCCCGGAGAAAGACAGUGUCUGGCGGGGAGGUUGACUGG